CCGGAUGAUGUGGGAUGUUACAAGCAAGAAGAAUGGUCUGAGGGUAAAAAAUUUUAAAUUUUGAUUCGUACUGAAAAUCCUAAAUUUUUGUGGGACAAAAACUAAGGCUAUCUCGAAUCCGACCAAAGGAUCAUAAAGUCGAAAAUAAUCUGAAAUAACACGAAAAUCAUCUCUAAUUAAGAAAUAAGCCAAAAAACUCAUAGCCCCACGAGACAAAAAAAGAGGAAUCAGGCAAACCGGCUGGUCCAAAGAAGCCAGCCAGCUAGCCGCAGGUUGACUUCCUCCAUCUCCCAAACACGUUCCGUACAAUGUGCAUCUCCCCAACGAGUAUAGCAAAACCUGUGUCUUGUGAAAGAGACGCGAAACAGGGCCGUAUCGGCCGGCGCACGGGCUGAUUGUGCCGCUGCUGGUGAAGACAAUUCUGAAGAUCUUGGAUCGGGCGACGGAGUACGCGGCGGGAGAGCCGCUGUUGCUGUGCUAGAAUACCUCGCCGUUGAGGUGUUGGAGCUCGCUGGAAACGCUGCAAGGGACAACAAGAAGAACCGCAUUAUUCGUGGCCCGAGUGCCCUUUUGAAAUUUCACUUUUUUUUGUUUUUUUGUUUUUUGUUUUUUUUUUUUUCUAUUUCUCAUUAAUUUUCUUAAUCUCUAAUUUUCAGAUUUUUAGUAGAAAAAAGAAGAAGAAAAAGGAAAGUAAAAUUGAGGUUGUAGAUUAUUGGUAUAUAAAAAUAUUGUAAUUUUUUGUGUAUUUUGUAUGUAAGCAUUUUUGUUUAGAUUAUUGGUAUAUAAAAAUAUUGUAAUUUUUUGUUUGUCUCUCUGUGUGUGAUUAGUUUGUUUUUGUUUUA
Long non-coding RNA from Malus domestica (apple), 842 nucleotides. RefSeq lists it as uncharacterized. NCBI's taxonomy places the organism in Eukaryota, Viridiplantae, Streptophyta, Magnoliopsida, Rosales, Rosaceae. The record is from RefSeq and is a predicted model, not a curated record.